RNAcentral lists this microRNA precursor (110 nucleotides) under Gorilla gorilla (western gorilla). RNAcentral's name for it is "microRNA ggo-mir-940 precursor". Its record names the gene ggo-mir-940. The stretch from base 11 to 104 matches the Rfam family "mir-940 microRNA precursor family". RNAcentral also lists the same sequence under 1 other name. Lineage: Eukaryota; Metazoa; Chordata; Mammalia; Primates; Hominidae. The record is from miRBase by way of RNAcentral.
ACCAGUGUCUGUGAGGUGUGGGCCCGGCCCCAGGAGCGGGGCCUGGGCAGCCCCGUGUGUUGAGGAAGGAAGGCAGGGCCCCCGCUCCCCGGGCCUGACCCCACUGCUUC